Long non-coding RNA from Stomoxys calcitrans (stable fly), 729 nucleotides. RefSeq lists it as uncharacterized. The transcript is spliced from 2 exons. NCBI's taxonomy places the organism in Eukaryota, Metazoa, Arthropoda, Insecta, Diptera, Muscidae. The record is from RefSeq and is a predicted model, not a curated record.
UCCUGUAUCCUAAAGGGGAUUAAUUUCGAACGAUUCAUUUCGAUUUGCCAAAGAUUAGCAAUCUCCAUGCACAAUGACAUUAUCGGCUAUCCAUGCAACGCAAGCCAAAAACAAUUUAUCCUCGUAUCAUACUAUGAUAGUGACAAAAAGGCGGUACUAAUGAACUCAGUAUUCCCCUAGGAAGGGAGGUUAAUCGCAAACAAAUAAACCAAAACAAACAAAAAAAAAACAAUUUAUUUCAUUGAAUAACAUUGUCAACCUUUGUUAGCCGAUUUAAGGCAACAGAUUUAAAAUGUCAAUCAAAAACGUAGAGAGAAAAAAACCAACAACAACAAUAUCUCAACCUCAUGCGUAACCAAAGCCACUAAUUUAACAACUUUAAACUGAUCCAAAUUAUGGUGACAGCAAAUUUCCAUACAAAUUAACACAUCUCCACGUGUGUAAGGGUUCUGCCCAGUGAAUCUUCUAGGUGAAGGUUAUGAUCGCGGGCGAGUUUGUUUAAGAGUUGCACACGAUUCCCCUGUCGUGAGGAGUGGUGUCUUCCAGCAUUCUGCGAAGGUUAAGUUGCUAACGUGUAAGUCGGAAGAGUUUUGGAAGAUCUUAUAAUCGGGCAUGAAUCUUGUGGACAGAAUCAUUAGUGUUCUGGAAAAUAAAUAAAAUAAUCUUCUGGAAGAGUUGCGCAUUACUCUCUCGGACGAGUAAUAUAAAUGUUUUUUAAAAUUUAUUAAA